Chenopodium quinoa (quinoa) is the source of this 532-nucleotide long non-coding RNA. RefSeq lists it as uncharacterized. The transcript is spliced from 3 exons. The record is from RefSeq and is a predicted model, not a curated record. Lineage: Eukaryota; Viridiplantae; Streptophyta; Magnoliopsida; Caryophyllales; Amaranthaceae.
GUCCUCACCGGCCUCCUGUAGUCCAGUAGAUCGACCGUCGCCCAUGACCCGUCGUGCCUCAUUGCCUCACAGGAUCUCGGCCGUCGUUGCUGCCACAACGUCGGCCGUCUUCGAUGCAUCAAUGUCUUCUUCUCCUUUCAACCUUUUAUCUCUUUCCUCCUAAUCUUCACAAAAAUCAGGUGCAUGGGGAGCUAAAUGGAGCUGAAGCAUAGUAACUAGCUAGUCAUUUAACAAAUGGUGCAUAUAUGUUGGCGACUCUUACUCAAGCUCAACUUUGUGAAGAUUUGGAAAUUCCGGCUUAUAUAUAUGUUGAAAAUUUGUAUUUUGGAGGAUUAAAUUAAUUAUAUAACUUUUAUUUAUUAUUAGUAGGGUGUCAUACAAAAAACAAGCAACUAAUAUUUUAUAAUGUACGUAUUUAGCAUUAUAAUUAUUUUAUAUAAAUUUAAUGAUAUUUUGUUUCUUAGUAUAUUUAGAUUUGUACCGACUAUUUAUACAUAUAUUAUAUUACCGUACAAUUCAAAAAAAAAAAAAA